Long non-coding RNA from Priapulus caudatus, 744 nucleotides. RefSeq lists it as uncharacterized. The transcript is spliced from 3 exons. The record is from RefSeq and is a predicted model, not a curated record. Lineage: Eukaryota; Metazoa; Priapulida; Priapulimorpha; Priapulimorphida; Priapulidae.
GAUGCGCCGGUGUGAAAGGCAGCUUACCAUUUCACUCGUUAAAUCACGCAGGCGGGUGAUGCACCAGUUCAGCUGCAGGAUCAACUGGUGAGCUGCGAGGCCGCCAUUGAGAAGUUAAUCGCCAACGUCGGCGCUUACGCCGCCAACCCAGAUGAAGAAAAACUGGUUAGAAACAUGAACGGCGAAGCGUUCCAGCACUUCAUAGAGGACAAGAUGCCAAAUGGAAGCGUUCGCGUGACGUUUGAAGAGGAGGGAUAUUCGUCAGACGAGUACGAGCUUGACAGUUUGGACAACGAAGAUAUGCUCACUAGAACGGACAUCAAGUUUCGCGGACAAAACAAGCUUGAGUCGAAGCAGAAGAAAAGCUUCCGGGCCAAAAAGCGAUGAAUCCCAAAUAUUACUGCAGUAUUGUGGUCCCUAUCCCAAAAUAAAGCAUUGCUGCGGUGUGCGGUGUGAGGUGAGCCAAUUGCAUACGAUAGAAGUAUUGUAAAGCUGUUUCAUGCAUCUUUAAUUUUGCUAUCUACGGUACUGCUACGAAUUGAAGAUAAAUGUCGUGAAUGUAAGUGGAAUUGUUCAACAAGUAUACAACACGCAAAAAUAUCACGCACAUGAAAAAGAAAAAGCUUUAUCCCUGCGACAACAGUUACGUAGAGGCAUGUUCAUAUCUCAUGUUCACAGCAGUAGUUGUAUCAGUGAAGCUAUCAUGGAUACUCGAAUAAAAUGUGAUAAUUUAGACCUAGUCUA